Long non-coding RNA from Empidonax traillii (willow flycatcher), 1045 nucleotides. RefSeq lists it as uncharacterized. The transcript is spliced from 6 exons. NCBI's taxonomy places the organism in Eukaryota, Metazoa, Chordata, Aves, Passeriformes, Tyrannidae. The record is from RefSeq and is a predicted model, not a curated record.
CCCGCUCAGCCGGGAAACGAGUCUGGUCGCUCCUCCCUCCGCGGCCCAAGGCCUUGCGGCCACGGCGGGUCCGCCUCAGGGGCGGCGGGUCAACGGCUGGGCUCGUGAGGGCUGACGAGGAGGAAGUCUUUUGUGCUUCCAUAAGGACAAUAGUUUCUGUGGCUGAAACAUCCUGUUCAGAGGGUUACAAUAAAACACUUUGCACUUGAAUUGUUUGCCUUCCUGACCCUUCAGCUUUCUGCCAGCUUCUGACUGUGCCUGCAACUCCAAAGCUCUGCAGCCAUCCCUGCCACCAACAGCAAGUUCCUGCUGCUGUCAGUUGAAAGCCUGUUUACCUUUGAACUCAGUGGGAACGAGAACUGGGCCCGUGUGUAACUGUGGGAAAUAAUUGACUGUAGUAACAUUUCCAUCAGCCCUGUGAGUUGAUUUGAACCAAAUUACUCAGGAAACUCAAAAACCCGAUGCAAGGUUUCUAUGAUGGAUUUUUCCAAGGCAAAAAUCUGUGAACUGGCUUCACACCACCAGCACAGGGUAGGUUUUCCAUCACGAGAUUGAUGCUACCCUUGAGCCUGAAAAUGGCUGGCAAGAGACUUGUGGGUGACUGGAGGGGACUGUCACCAGUGCCUGUGGGGAGAGGUUGGAGUCACUCAGGCAGAGCAAGUCCUUCUCUGAGACAACUGAUGCUUGGCAGGUUGCAAACAGAGCAAAACUAAAAGUGGCAAAUGCACUAUUUCUGUGCAUGGCAGACAGAGCAGAGAGCAAUUACACUCCCCAGUAUGGAACAUCUCCCAUUAACGAGGCUCAGUUUGCUGCUGGGGGUUCGGUGGGAUUCAGUUCCAGUGGGCUGUGGCACAGACCCUAAAUACAGAACAUUACAUGACCUUAAUGUUGCUUUUGAAAAUAGGCUGCUGAUACUGAGACUUACAUAAAGAAAUACAUAAAUUUACUCUUCAACAUGGUGCAUAAAUGCCCUGUGGCAAACAUCUAUUAGAGAAGUAAAAUGUAAUUAAGGUUACUUAAUACUGGGAAAGUAAACAUUACUUGG